Molecule: non-coding RNA, 40 nt
Filed under: unclassified sequences
Source: RNAcentral
GAAAACCAAAGGAUAAGCAUAAGACCUUAAUUUGGUAUUC